RNAcentral lists this long non-coding RNA (528 nucleotides) under Sorghum bicolor (sorghum). RNAcentral describes it as "long non-coding RNA (SBIC_LNC001454)". The record is from RNAcentral. Lineage: Eukaryota; Viridiplantae; Streptophyta; Magnoliopsida; Poales; Poaceae.
GGACUCACUAGUGAAAACCAUGCCAUGCCAUUGGGCGGCCUCAACAACGGAUAUGUCCAUCCUUUAGAAUUUAUAUUUACAUUUAUUUUCUUCUUUUGUUGGAGGGAGACAGAGUUUUAGAGGCUUUGGCCGUAUCACGACACUUCGUGGUAGAAGAGGAUAGGGGAAAUACAUCAUGCUAUUCUUCGUAUCCCGAUCGUAGUGGACAUGUGGUCUUGAGUUGAUUAUUGAUUGAGACCCAAAUGCUUAGAGCUUUUUGGGUACCAUUAUUCUUUUUCCUUUAUUUCUUUUUUUCUUAUUGCAAUGGCUGUGUAUACAGCCUUAUUAUAAACUUUAUUUGUAAUAUCUAAUUUGCAUAGUUGAUAUACCUAUGCUAUGUAUAUAUAUCUACUAUCCAAGUUAAUUUUUUAAUAGAUACAACUGUAUAUAUUUUGAAUCGAAGGAAAUAGCUACUCCCUCCAUCUCACAAGAAAGUUAAUUUUGGUCAAACUAACUCCAAAAAGAUUGAAACGACUUAUACUUUGCAAG